RNAcentral lists this transfer RNA (77 nucleotides) under Holosporales bacterium. RNAcentral describes it as "tRNA-Asp". It matches the Rfam family "tRNA". From Rfam's summary of the family: Transfer RNA (tRNA) molecules are approximately 80 nucleotides in length. Their secondary structure includes four short double-helical elements and three loops (D, anti-codon, and T loops). Further hydrogen bonds mediate the characteristic L-shaped molecular structure. tRNAs have two regions of fundamental functional importance: the anti-codon, which is responsible for specific mRNA codon recognition, and the 3' end, to which the tRNAs corresponding amino acid is attached (by aminoacyl-tRNA synthetases). tRNAs cope with the degeneracy of the genetic code in two manners: having more than one tRNA (with a specific anti-codon) for a particular amino acid; and 'wobble' base-pairing, i.e. permitting non-standard base-pairing at the 3rd anti-codon position. The record is from RNAcentral. Lineage: Bacteria; Pseudomonadati; Pseudomonadota; Alphaproteobacteria; Holosporales.
GGGUGUGUAGCUCAGUUGGUUAGAGCGCCGGCCUGUCACGCCGGAGGUCGCGAGUUCAAGUCUCGUCACUCCCGCCA